RNAcentral lists this ribosomal RNA (301 nucleotides) under uncultured bacterium. RNAcentral's name for it is "partial 16S ribosomal RNA". It matches the Rfam family "Bacterial small subunit ribosomal RNA", at positions 509 to 807 of the family's 1533-position model. The record is from RNAcentral.
CAGCAGCCGCGGGAAUACGUAGGGUGCAAGCGUUAAUCGGAAUUACUGGGCGUAAAGCGUGCGCAGGCGGUUAUAUAAGACAGAUGUGAAAUCCCCGGGCUCAACCUGGGAACUGCAUUUGUGACUGUAUAGCUAGAGUACGGCAGAGGGGGAUGGAAUUCCGCGUGUAGCAGUGAAAUGCGUAGAUAUGCGGAGAAACACCGAUGGCGAAGGCAAUCCCCUGGGCCUGUACUGACGCUCAUGCACGAAAGCGUGGGGAGCAAACAGGAUUAGAUACCCCCGUAGUCCCUGUCUCUUAUAC